CCUUCCCCAGUCAAAUUCUCCUAGUUGGAAAACCCCCAAAUGGCACACUUCCCCACUCACUCUCAAAUUUCCAGAUUUUAUCCUAAAAAUCCUUCAUUUAUCCUUCCUUGAUUUUCUCCACAAAUUUCUCCUCAACUACCUCUCUAUGACCAGUUCAAACUCUCCACAAUAGUGUUUCAGCCCAACACUACUACCUACAC
This 200-nucleotide long non-coding RNA is filed under the name Gossypium raimondii (Peruvian cotton). RNAcentral's name for it is "long non-coding RNA (GRAI_LNC009967)". The record is from RNAcentral. Lineage: Eukaryota; Viridiplantae; Streptophyta; Magnoliopsida; Malvales; Malvaceae.